GUGCUUAACACAUGCAAGUCGAACGGAAAGGUCUCUUCGGAGAUACUCGAGUGGCGAACGGGUGAGUAACACGUGGGUGAUCUGCCCUGCACUUCGGGAUAAGCCUGGGAAACUGGGUCUAAUACCGGAUAGGACCACGGGAUGCAUGUCCCGUGGUGGAAAGCGUUUAGCGGUGUGGGAUGGGCCCGCGGCCUAUCAGCUUGUUGGUGGGGUGAUGGCCUACCAAGGCGACGACGGGUAGCCGGCCUGAGAGGGUGUCCGGCCACACUGGGACUGAGAUACGGCCCAGACUCCUACGGGAGGCAGCAGUGGGGAAUAUUGCACAAUGGGCGCAAGCCUGAUGCAGCGACGCCGCGUGGGGGAUGACGGCCUUCGGGUUGUAAACCUCUUUCACCAUCGACGAAGGUCCGGGUUUUCUCGGAUUGACGGUAGGUGGAGAAGAAGCACCGGCCAACUACGUGCCAGCAGCCGCGGUAAUACGUAGGGUGCGAGCGUUGUCCGGAAUUACUGGGCGUAAAGAGCUCGUAGGUGGUUUGUCGCGUUGUUCGUGAAAU
Molecule: ribosomal RNA, 554 nt
Filed under: Mycobacterium sp. 453-019
Lineage: Bacteria; Bacillati; Actinomycetota; Actinomycetes; Mycobacteriales; Mycobacteriaceae
Description: bacterial SSU rRNA
Rfam family: Bacterial small subunit ribosomal RNA
Source: RNAcentral